Small nucleolar RNA from Rhinichthys klamathensis goyatoka, 74 nucleotides. RefSeq annotates it as small nucleolar RNA SNORD47. The transcript has a single exon. The record is from RefSeq and is a predicted model, not a curated record. NCBI's taxonomy places the organism in Eukaryota, Metazoa, Chordata, Actinopteri, Cypriniformes, Leuciscidae.
AACCUAUGAUGACACGAUUCUGCCAAAUGAAAUCUGCUGAUUAUACCCUUUACCGUUCCAUAUUGUCUGAGGUU